UAGGCGGACAGCAAAUGUUUCGAUGUCCAGCUCGGACAUGAAAAGACAAUCACCAACGUCAUCCCCGCAAUGGCAGGUUCCAACCUGAUCUACGGUA
Molecule: non-coding RNA, 97 nt
Filed under: bovine gut metagenome
Description: Pyrrolysine insertion sequence mttB
Rfam family: Pyrrolysine insertion sequence mttB
Source: RNAcentral